AGGACGAACGCUGGCGGCGUGCUUAACACAUGCAAGUCGAGCGGAAAGGCCUUUCGGGGUACUCGAGCGGCGAACGGGUGAGUAACACGUGAGUAAUCUGCCCAUCGCUUCAGGAUAGCCAUCGGAAACGGUGAUUAAUACUGGAUAUGACAUUCCUUCGCAUGUUGGGGUGUGGAAAGUUUUUUCGGCGGUGGAUGUGCUCGCGGCCUAUCAGCUUGUUGGUGGGGUAAUGGCCUACCAAGGCUUUGACGGGUAGCCGGCCUGAGAGGGUGACCGGCCACACUGGGACUGAGACACGGCCCAGACUCCUACGGGAGGCAGCAGUGGGGAAUAGUUGGACAAGUGGGCGGAAGCCUGAUCCAGCAACGCCGCGUGAGGAUGACGGCCUUCGGGUUGUAAACCUCUUCAGCACAGACGUAGUUUGUCUUUUUGGUGUAAGUGACGUAUGUAGUCAGAAGAAGGACCGCCGAACUCGUGCCGAGCACGCCGC
Molecule: ribosomal RNA, 490 nt
Filed under: uncultured soil bacterium
Lineage: Bacteria
Description: bacterial SSU rRNA
Rfam family: Bacterial small subunit ribosomal RNA
Source: RNAcentral